This 505-nucleotide ribosomal RNA is filed under the name uncultured bacterium. RNAcentral describes it as "partial 16S ribosomal RNA". It matches the Rfam family "Bacterial small subunit ribosomal RNA", at positions 28 to 507 of the family's 1533-position model. The record is from RNAcentral.
GACGAACGCUGGCGGCGUGCCUAAUACAUGCAAGUAGAACGCACAGUUUAUACCGUAGCUUGCUACACCAUAGACUGUGAGUUGCGAACGGGUGAGUAACGCGUAGGUAACCUGCCUGGUAGCGGGGGAUAACUAUUGGAAACGAUAGCUAAUACCGCAUAAUAUUGAUUAUUGCAUGAUAAUUGAUUGAAAGAUGCUAUUGCAUCACUACCAGAUGGACCUGCGUUGUAUUAGCUAGUAGGUGAGGUAACGGCUCACCUAGGCGACGAUACAUAGCCGACCUGAGAGGGUGAUCGGCCACACUGGGACUGAGACACGGCCCAGACUCCUACGGGAGGCAGCAGUAGGGAAUCUUCGGCAGUGGACGAAAGUCUGACCGAGCAACGCCGCGUGAGUGAAGAAGGUUUUCGGAUCGUAAAGCUCUGUUGUAAGAGAAGAACGGGUGUGAGAGUGGAAAGUUCACACUGUGACGGUAUCUUACCAGAAAGGGACGGCUAACUACGUG